RNAcentral lists this ribosomal RNA (305 nucleotides) under uncultured bacterium. RNAcentral's name for it is "bacterial SSU rRNA". It matches the Rfam family "Bacterial small subunit ribosomal RNA", at positions 337 to 658 of the family's 1533-position model. The record is from RNAcentral.
GCCUACGGGGCGCAGCAGUGGGGAAUAUUGCACAAUGGGGGAAACCCUGAUGCAGCAACGCCGCGUGGGUGAAGGAGCGUUUCGGCGCGUAAAGCCCUGUCAGCGGGGAAGAAGAAAGACGGUACCCGACCAAGAAGCCCCGGCUAACUACGUGCCAGCAGCCGCGGUAAUACGUAGGGGGCGAGCGUUAUCCGGAAUUACUGGGUGUAAAGGGAGCGUAGACGGUGAUGCAAGUCAGAAGUGAAAGCCCGCGGCUCAACUGCGGGACUGCUUUUGAAACUGUAUGACUGGAGUGCAGGAGAGGG